CUCCGGCGCCCGACCUCCCAACCCUUUGACGAACCUCAACCUCUGUCUGCCUCGGGGGCGACCCCGGUCCCUCGCGGCCCGCGGUCCCCCCGGCGGCGCGAUUCUCCAACCCUGCAUCAAUUGUCGUCGGAUAUUGAAGCGAAUUCAAUCAAAACUUUCAACAACGGAUCUCUUGGUUCUGGCAUCGAUGAAGAACGCAGCGAAAUGCGAUAAGUAGUGUGAAUUGCAGAAUUCAGUGAAUCAUCGAAUCUUUGAACGCACAUUGCGCCCCUUAGUAUUCCAUGGGGCAUGCCUGUCCAGCGUCAUUUGUACUCUCAAGCUAUGCUUGGUGUCGGGCACUCGCUCACUCACUCCUGCAGACAUGCCUUAAUUAUAUUGGCACCCAGCUUUUUGGUUUGAAAUGNGCACCACAUGCCUAAGCUAUUGAAUACAGGCAACCAUGAAGAAUAUCACUCUUUUGACCUCGGAUCAGGUAGGGAUACCCCUGAACUUAAGCAUAUCAAUAAGCGGAGGAAAAGAAACCAACAGGGAUUGCCCAUUCACGGCGAAG
Molecule: ribosomal RNA, 550 nt
Filed under: uncultured marine ascomycete SIF02
Lineage: Eukaryota; Fungi; Ascomycota
Description: eukaryotic LSU rRNA
Rfam family: 5.8S ribosomal RNA (bases 153-305)
Source: RNAcentral